Molecule: long non-coding RNA, 317 nt
Organism: Nematostella vectensis (starlet sea anemone)
Lineage: Eukaryota; Metazoa; Cnidaria; Anthozoa; Actiniaria; Edwardsiidae
Exons: 2
Source: RefSeq, a predicted model, not a curated record
UGUAACAGGAGAACCCAGGUUGAGCCGUAGACCUCCAUCUGAUUCAAAAUGGUCAUUAAACAAGAGGUGGAGGGGCUGUCAUUCCUCGUGGGAGCUACUCAUCCCUGAGGGUGGGAACGCUGAGCAGGUGGCAGCGGUGGUGAGAUCAAGGCUGCCUCACGUUGAGGGGGGCGAUGAUAUGAGUGUAGAGAAUUAACCUUGCAUGAUCGACCGGAAGCAAACUGGUGACAAUGCGGCUUUAAAUACUUCGAAUAGUCCCCCCUCCCUCCCACCAAAUGAUAAGAAAUGGAAAUAAAUUAAAGCCCAUGGCACUACAA